AGAAAUUUACAAACUUCAGAGAUCUGAAUGUAAUUUCUUAAACAUAAGGGGAUUUUUUGUAAUUACAACUUUGUGUUCGACUGGACUGGACUUGUUUGGUGAAUUAGUAAUUGGCCCAUCGUUGCGAGCCUGGUUACAAUGGGCUUUUUAUUCCCGGCCCGAAUAAAAUGGAAAUGACACUGAGCGGCGCACAAUAGACAAACUGGGGGCGAAAUUCUAAAAUGCUCCGUUGUAAGCCCUAAUUGGAGCCGCUCCACCACUUAUAAAUAAUCGCCGUCUCGCCACCCAUAAACCACCACCAACUCCGCCGCCAUUUCCAAUCUCGAGUUACGCAUCUUCAUUCACGCCGCUCCUUGCAGACAAUCGAUACUUCAGGAAAAAAAUGGCUACUCAAAUUGCAGACAAUCGUAGUUUGUGGCGGACGGAGUGUUCUUCGCCGAGUUGCUGACGUGGAGAGCUGCCGGAGGAUGGUUACUCCGGCGUGGAGGUUAGGGUUACACCCGUGCGCACCGCUCGUACUCAGAAUGUACUCGAGCCUGCUAUGGAGUCUUACUAUUUGUUAUGGAGAUUGGUGCAAAGGGGUGUGAGUUAAUUGCCAGUGGAAAACUAAGGACUCAGCCCUCAGCGAGCCAAAUCCAUGAAAUUCGAAGACGGGUACAUAAUAUCCUCUGGCCCUGUCAAACUUUUGCUGUGAAGCUGGCCAUUUGAUUUACGAUCAAAUUGGUUUUCUUACUUGGUUACGCAUUUUUUUCCUGAAGGGCGUUCUUGGAAUUGAAUUUAAGAUAAUGCUCGACUGGGACCCGAAGGGGAAACAGGGUUCGAUUACGCCUUCACCGGAUCUUGUCACAAUAUAUCCACCGAAAGAGGAGCACUAUAUUGCGCCACCAGUAGCUGCUGCUACUGAUGUUGAUAUAGAAGGUGCGGUGUCCGAAGAAAUUCUCUAAGCAGAUGAAGGAAUGUUAUAUAUAUGUAAGAGUGUGUGUGACGUGAAGUUAUGUUGUGUAAAUAGUGCAUUUUGUUAUAAUGUGGCUGUAUGAUGUUUUUUGUUAGGAACUUUUGUAAGAAUUUGUUUUUAAUUAGUGGUUAAAUAGGUUAUUUAAAUAAAAAUGUUCUUCAAUGGC
Molecule: non-coding RNA, 1121 nt
Organism: Erythranthe guttata (spotted monkey flower)
Lineage: Eukaryota; Viridiplantae; Streptophyta; Magnoliopsida; Lamiales; Phrymaceae
Source: RefSeq, a predicted model, not a curated record